ACCCGCUGAACUUAAGCAUAUCAAUAAGCGGAGGAAAAGAAGCCAACAGGGAUUGCCUCAGUAACGGCGAGUGAAGCGGCAACAGCUCAAAUUUGAAAUCUGGCCUCUUUGGGGUCCGAGUUGUAAUUUGUAGAGGAUGUUUCGGGUACCGCCUCGGUUUAAAUUUCUUGGAACAGAAUGUCAAAGAGGGUGAGAAUCCCGUCUUGGACCGGCGGUAGGGCCCAUGUGAAACUCCUUCGACGAGUCGAGUUGUUUGGGAAUGCAGCUCAAAAUGGGUGGUAAAUUUCAUCUAAAGCUAAAUAUUGGCCAGAGACCGAUAGCGCACAAGUAGAGUGAUCGAAAGAUGAAAAGCACUUUGAAAAGAGAGUUAAACAGUAUGUGAAAUUGUUGAAAGGGAAGCGCUUACAACCAGACUUGCGCGCGGCGGUUCCCCCUUCCUUUUGGUUGGGCUACUCCGUCGUGUCCAGGCCAACAUCGGUUCUGGGGGUCGGUUAAAGACCCUGGGAAUGUAUCUACCCCUCGGGCGUAGACUUAUAGCUCAGGGUGUCAUGCGGCCUCCCGGGACCGAGGAACGCGCUUCGGCUCGGAUGUUGGCGUAAUGGUUGUCAGCGACCCGUCUUGAAACACGGACCAAGGAGUCUAACAUCUAUGCGAGUGUUUGGGUGUCAAACCCGGAACGCGAAAUGAAAGUGAACGGAGGUAGGAAGCCUUGAGGCUGCACUAUCGACCGAUCCUGAUGUCUUCGGAUGGAUUUGAGUAAGAGCAUAGCUGUUGGGACCCGAAAGAUGGUGAACUAUGCCUGAAUAGGGUGAAGCCAGAGGAAACUCUGGUGGAGGCUCGCAGCGGUUCUGACGUGCAAAUCGAUCGUCAAAUUUGGGUAUAGGGGCGAAAGACUAAUCGAACCAUCUGGUAGCUGGUUCCUGCCGAAGUUUCCCUCAGGAUAGCAGUAACGUUUUCAGUUUUAUGAGGUAAAGCGAAUGAUUAGAGGCCUUGGGGUUGAAACAACCUUAACCUAUUCUCAAACUUUAAAUAUGUAAGAAGUCCUUGUUGCUUAAUUGAACGUGGACAUUUGAAUGUAUCGUUACUAGUGGGCCAUUUUUGGUAAGCAGAACUGGCGAUGCGGGAUGAACCGAACGUGAGGUUAAGGUGCCGGAAUGUACGCUCAUCAGACACCACAAAAGGUGUCAAUGCAUCCAGACAGCCGGACGGUGGCCAUGGAAGUCGGAAUCCGCUUAGGAGUGUGUAACAACUCACCGGCCGAAUGCAUUGGCCCUGAAAAUGGAUGGCGCUUAAGCGUGCUACCUAUACCUCGCCGUCAGGGUUGACAUGAUGCCCUGACGAGUAGGCAGGCGUGGAGGUCCGUGACGAAGCCUUGGGGGUGACCCUGGGUCGAACGACCUCUAGUGCAGAUCUUGGUGGUAGUA
Molecule: ribosomal RNA, 1424 nt
Filed under: Exophiala sp.
Lineage: Eukaryota; Fungi; Ascomycota; Eurotiomycetes; Chaetothyriales; Herpotrichiellaceae
Description: eukaryotic LSU rRNA
Rfam family: Eukaryotic large subunit ribosomal RNA
Source: RNAcentral